Molecule: ribosomal RNA, 350 nt
Filed under: uncultured bacterium
Lineage: Bacteria
Description: partial 16S ribosomal RNA
Rfam family: Bacterial small subunit ribosomal RNA
Source: RNAcentral
CCUACGGGUGGCAGCAGUCGAGAAUCAUUCACAAUGGGGGGAACCCUGAUGGUGCGACGCCGCGUGGGGGAAUGAAGGUCUUCGGAUUGUAAACCCCUGUCAUGUGGGAGCAAAUUAAAAAGAUAGUACCCCACGAGGAAGAGACGGCUAACACUGUGCCAGCAGCCGCGGUAAUACAGAGGUCUCAAGCGUUGUUCGGAAUCACUGGGCUUAAAGCGUGCGUAGGCUGUUUCGUAAGUCGGGUGUGAAAGGCGCGGGCUCAACCCGCGGACGGCACAUGAUACUGGGAGACUAGAGUAAUGGAGGGGGAAGCGGAAUGCUCGGUGUAGCAGUGAAAUGCGUAGAUAUCG